This 188-nucleotide small nucleolar RNA is filed under the name Dipodomys ordii (Ord's kangaroo rat). Its description in RNAcentral is "Small nucleolar RNA SNORA57". It matches the Rfam family "Small nucleolar RNA SNORA57". Rfam says of the family: U99 belongs to the H/ACA class of snoRNAs which are thought to guide the sites of modification of uridines to pseudouridines, the target for this family is unknown. Lineage: Eukaryota; Metazoa; Chordata; Mammalia; Rodentia; Heteromyidae. The record is from Rfam by way of RNAcentral.
CCUCCAUUUCUUGGUGGAGACCAGGCACGCAGUCCUGUUCUCCAUUACCUACGGAGGCAGAAGGAAAUGCAGUCCUGUUCUCCAUUACCUACGGAGGCAGAAGGAAAGGGCUCAAGCCCUCUUGGCGUCAUGUCUUCAGUGCCAGUGACUUCUACUUGCCAGCUCUGUCCUCAAGCUCUGGGACCAUG